Molecule: non-coding RNA, 1898 nt
Organism: Podarcis lilfordi (Lilford's wall lizard)
Lineage: Eukaryota; Metazoa; Chordata; Lepidosauria; Squamata; Lacertidae
Source: the annotation of a GenBank genome assembly
GGAAUCUCCGGGAUGGAUGGAUGGAUGGCAGUGGUACCCAAUAGGUUUGCAGAAGGGAGUGAUGAAAAAUAGGGGAUUGGGGGGGAGAGAAAGAGGUUCAUGCAGCAGGUCAAAGAGAUGGAGACGGUGUAGGGCGGUGGGUCAGGCAGGCAAGGCAGUCCAAUGGGGGUCAGGAUGGGGAAGAGAACCAUGAGUGUUGAGGGGGUGGGUGAAUUGUGAGCACAGCCCACAGGGUGUUUUUUUUGGGGGGGGAAGGGAUGGGGGAGAGAAUCACCUUUGCCAAACAAGAGCGUUGACUUGUGUCUGUUCCCUUUGCCCCAAACUAAUGUAUGCAAUUUGGGGGGUGGCACGAACUCGUGGAAUAUGACGCAACCCCCCUUUUCCUGCUGUUCUCAGUCCUGUGCUCCAAAUCACUAAGGUAGGUUGGAAGCCCUGCUUUCAAUACCCUUGUUUGUGAUGGGAACAGCUCCUGACCCGUUUCACCAGGCACCGUAUUGUUCGCUCUAUAAGACGCAUUUCCCCCCCUCCUGAAAAGUAAGGGGAAUUGUGUGUGCGUCUUAUGGAGCGAAUGCAGGCUGUGCGGCUAUCCCAGAAGCCAGAACAGCAAGAGGGAUCGCUGCGCAGCGCUCCCUCUCGCUGUUCUAGCUUCUGGCUUAGCCCCUCAGUCCCUUCCCCCACCUCCCGGAAAAGCCCCCAAGAGCCGCGCUCCCUUUAAAGAGCCGCGUGGAGUGUGAGUGCGGCUCUUGGGGAAAAGCUUGAAAGUGCCGCACACACGUUCCACGCGGCUCUGCUCAGCGCUCCCUUUAAAGAAGUUUUUCCCCCUUGCAUUCCCCCUCUAAAAAAUAGGUGCGUCUUAUGGUCAGGUGUGUCUUAUGUCGCAAAAAAUACGGUCAUCAAAUCAGCACUAUGUACCUAAACGGGUGGGCAAGGGAAUCCAGUCUUGGCCUGCCUUGGGUGUAUGCACCCGAGUUGGUCUCCAAAGUGGUUUUCUUCAGACCACACCUGUCUGCCAUCCAGCUGAUGUCACUGUGGGCAAUACGCUGGCAAAUCAGAUCCCUGCAGCUGGCAGGAUUGGACCCUGUUUGCCAGUUGGUGAGCAGAAUGUUCCUGUUCAGUUUGCAGGCGGCCAAAAUACAGUGUGCAGUUUCUUUGCUUCCACGUAGCUCUGUGCUAUUCUUCACAGUCCCAACAUAACGCUUCAAAAUGCAGCGUCUUGUAAUGUCACUGCAAUUAACCAAACAAUUUAACCCCUGUGUUGCAAACAAGAGUCAGUAAUAUCCAAGGGAACACGAUGACCAAAUACAAUGAUACGAUAUCAAUAUACACUCUUUAUAUAGUAUGAAAUAUAUGAAAUCACAUAAACAGAAAACUUACGAAUCUCUGAAAGUCACUAAAUAUGCACUCUUAAUGGAUUUCAUAUAUUUCAUAUUAUAUAAAGGGUGUAUAUUGAUAUCGUAUCGUCGUAUUUGGUCACCCUGUUGCCUUGAAUGUCACUGCGAUUGACAGCUGUGUGGCUCCACCUUCCUUUCCAAUUUACACGCCCCGGGGUGGGAAGAUUGGGAUCUGGUCCGGCGGACCAGUUUACAGGUACAAAACGUGUGUCGAGUGUGCCUGAGACCCCAUGUAGCAAAGGUGGAAGGUGGGGGGGGGCAGAGAGAGAGAGACAGGAUCAGGGAGUGGGUGGGAGAGGAAAGGAAAACUUUUAAAUACUUUUUUUAACAUUCGCCCACAGAACAAAAAGCACAAACCAAUUGCACAGAGCCACCAGCCAAAUGCGUCUGAGAGAUUAAGAAACAACCGUACAGACAGGCAAAAAAAAAAAAAAAAAAAAAAAGGAACAACACACAGCACAGGCAAGAAAAUCAUAGAAAAGAACAGGCCACAGCGAUAUGGUGACA